RNAcentral lists this transfer RNA (70 nucleotides) under Dipodomys ordii (Ord's kangaroo rat). It matches the Rfam family "tRNA". Rfam says of the family: Transfer RNA (tRNA) molecules are approximately 80 nucleotides in length. Their secondary structure includes four short double-helical elements and three loops (D, anti-codon, and T loops). Further hydrogen bonds mediate the characteristic L-shaped molecular structure. tRNAs have two regions of fundamental functional importance: the anti-codon, which is responsible for specific mRNA codon recognition, and the 3' end, to which the tRNAs corresponding amino acid is attached (by aminoacyl-tRNA synthetases). tRNAs cope with the degeneracy of the genetic code in two manners: having more than one tRNA (with a specific anti-codon) for a particular amino acid; and 'wobble' base-pairing, i.e. permitting non-standard base-pairing at the 3rd anti-codon position. Lineage: Eukaryota; Metazoa; Chordata; Mammalia; Rodentia; Heteromyidae. The record is from Rfam by way of RNAcentral.
GGGAAUGUGGCUCAGUGGUGGAGUGCUUGUCUUGUGCACAUGAGGCCCUGGGUUUGAUUCCUUAGCACCA